RNAcentral lists this ribosomal RNA (430 nucleotides) under uncultured bacterium. Its description in RNAcentral is "bacterial SSU rRNA". It matches the Rfam family "Bacterial small subunit ribosomal RNA", at positions 354 to 796 of the family's 1533-position model. The record is from RNAcentral.
GUGGGGAAUAUUGCACAAUGGGCGAAAGCCUGAUGCAGCAACGCCGCGUGAGGGACGACGGCCUUCGGGUUGUAAACCUCUUUUAGUAGGGAAGAAGCGAAAGUGACGGUACCUGCAGAAAAAGCACCGGCUAACUACGUGCCAGCAGCCGCGGUAAUACGUAGGGUGCAAGCGUUAUCCGGAAUUAUUGGGCGUAAAGAGCUCGUAGGCGGUCUGUCGCGUCUGCUGUGAAAACUGGAGGCUCAACAUCCAGCCUGCAGUGGGUACGGGCAGACUAGAGUGCGGUAGGGGAGAUUGGAAUUCCUGGUGUAGCGGUGGAAUGCGCAGAUAUCAGGAGGAACACCGAUGGCGAAGGCAGAUCUCUGGGCCGUAACUGACGCUGAGGAGCGAAAGCGUGGGGAGCGAACAGGAUUAGAUACCCUAGUAGUCC